AAUCAUCCAAAAGAAGGUUACUCAUUUAACUUGUCUUACACAUAAAUUUAUGCCAGCAACACAAACUAAAACUAACGAACAUUCAUAAUCCACAAUCCUACUAACAAUUCAUAGGGAAAUUAAUAACUAAGCUUCAAAAUCCAUCUGAGCCCAAAAUAGACACAUUGCCAGCAUGAGACUAAACCAACAAAUACAACUACUAGAUCACCAUCACAUAGUAUCCAAAUACACUCCUUUUCACCAUCUGCUUCCUAUUUUAGUUGUUACCUGCAUUUAAUUGUAACUACAUUAAAUUAGAAAUUUAUGUAUCAACAAUUCCUACUGAAUCAAAAUGAAAGAUCAAAGAAUAACAAAAUCAAAUACCUGCAUCCAAUAUAGUCACUGCUGCAUUCUAAAAAACAU
Molecule: long non-coding RNA, 402 nt
Filed under: Medicago truncatula (barrel medic)
Lineage: Eukaryota; Viridiplantae; Streptophyta; Magnoliopsida; Fabales; Fabaceae
Description: long non-coding RNA (MTRU_LNC004921)
Source: RNAcentral